Molecule: long non-coding RNA, 1230 nt
Filed under: Ricinus communis (castor bean)
Lineage: Eukaryota; Viridiplantae; Streptophyta; Magnoliopsida; Malpighiales; Euphorbiaceae
Description: long non-coding RNA (RCOM_LNC000217)
Source: RNAcentral
UCAUCUCAAAUUAAUAUUAAUAAAGCCACAAAUUAUCUUAAAUGCUACAUUUUACAUAAAUACUUCGGUCUGCCAGAAAAACUAGGCGAGACCCGAAGCUCAGAAAAAUUUACAACUGAUACAUUUACUAUUACUACUGCGGAGAAUCUAAGAUUUACCAUUUUACAUACCAAAUCAAAUACUUCACCCGAUGAUGAAGGAGUCGGGUUACUGAAUAAGAGUCGCGAGAGAACUAACAGUCACGAAUCUGAAAAACAAUAAAUGGAGACUGUCAGUCUCGAGAGUGAGUUAAAAUCAUACAUCUAAAACAGUUUCAAAUAUCUCAAUGUCACAUUCAUUUAAUUUUAAAAUAAUUAAUAAAUCACGCGAACCAUACGUGUCAUGUUAAAACAUAUGUGUCAUGCCAUGCUUAAACAAAAUUUAUUCCACAUGCAACGGGACAGAGUACUUCAGUAGAACUCUAAUCCCAACUCUAAAAUCUCGAUUAUUUCAACACUUAUGUCUCAACUAACCUCAACUCUAUCAUCUCAAACCUCUCAUUCCAACAGGACUGGCGCCCAGAGAGCAAAGCUCGACCAGGGACCUUACCUCCAGUCCGGUCACUUAACUCUCAGCCUUAGCCUUUUGGCUCUCUUAUCCAAUAAGACUGGCGCCCCGAGAGCAAAGCUCGACCAGGGACCUUACCUCCAGUCUGGUCACUUAAGUAUCCAAAUAAGAAAUCUAAUAGCCAUUCGACUCUCUUAAUCCAAUAAGACUGGCGCCCCGAGAGCAAAGCUCGACCAGGGACCUUACCUCCAGUCUGGUCACUUAAAUAUCCAAAUAAGCCGGCGCCCCGAGAGCAAUGCUCGACCAGGGACCUUUACUCCGGCAACCACACUCUACUAAGCCCAGAGAGCGAUGCUCGACCAGGGCAGGUCCUAAUCUUUCUUUCUUAAAAUUUUUACCCUUUUUCUAUCUCUCUCAUAUUAUAUUGGACACUCAUCCAACUCCUAUGUUCUACUGCCGUCCCAUCCUGAGUCAUCAUGCAAUAUUAAAAUUGGUAAUAAAGGAAAAACAUAUUUAAAUAGUAAUUAAAAGCAUCAUUCAAAUGAUAAUAAUAAUAAUUGAAUGAAAAAUUGAAAUUGCAAAUAAAUAUUCACAGUAGCAAAUCAAAUUUUAUGCAUGACACGUGCGUAAACGAUAUAUGACUUUAACUCACAGAAUUAGGCGACCUCCUAGCUCAGCUUAGGU